RNAcentral lists this unclassified non-coding RNA (1965 nucleotides) under Hevea brasiliensis (rubber tree). The record is from RNAcentral. Lineage: Eukaryota; Viridiplantae; Streptophyta; Magnoliopsida; Malpighiales; Euphorbiaceae.
UAAACCCCUAAGCAAAAAAUCUCUCCCGCCAUGAACACACUAUCGUCCAUCCGCAGCACUCCUCCCAUAGCUCAUCCCUUUUCCUUCAAGCCCUCCUCGUUUCCCCAACUCCACACGCUCUCCCAAACCCUAGGAUUCUGCUCUCCCAAGACAAUCUUUUUACCCUUAUACUCAACUCGAUUUCGACGCUCCUUCAAGUCCCCAUACUCCCCAUUCCCCGCGGAAUCUCAGCUAUCUGAUGUCGACGAGGAAGAAGAAGAAGAAGACGACGGCGACGACGACGACGACGAAGACGAAGCUGCCGAUGAAUAUGACGACAUUCCCGUGGAGGUUUCUGACGGAAUCGAACAAAGUGAAGAUGAAACCGAAAUGUCGAUGGAUGCGAGAGAAGAAGUGUUAGCUUGGCGCAAGGAAACCAAGUCGCAGAGAGUUGAGAAGAUCCGUAAUGAAGUCAAAGAGUUUGGAAAUGACAUAAUAGAUGUUGAUGAACUCGCCUCCAUUUACGAUUUCCGUAUUGACAAAUUUCAGCGACUGGCGAUAAAAGCAUUCUUGAAUGGUUCUUCCGUAGUGGUUUCGGCGCCAACAAGCAGUGGAAAGACAUUGAUAGCUGAAGCUGCAGCCGUUGCCACUGUAGCUCGAGGAAGGAGAAUAUUCUAUACCACUCCGCUUAAGGCAUUAUCGAAUCAAAAGUUUCGUGAUUUUCGGGAGACGUUUGGGGAGGACAAUGUUGGUCUUCUCACUGGAGAUUCUGCCGUCAAUAAAGAUGCCCAAGUUUUGAUAAUGACCACUGAGAUUUUGCGCAACAUGUUAUAUCAGAGUGGCAAUUUCCAAACUUCUCUUCUGAUCCCUGUAGUUUUCUUAACAUUUAAGUUGAUAUUUGAAUCAAGUAUGGACAUGGUGGUUAACCUUCUCAUGCAGCAUUGGAAUGGUUUCCUCUGGGAGUGGGCUUUUCCAGGUGGAUGUGAUUGUUUUGGAUGAAGUUCAUUUUCUAAGUGACAUAUCUCGGGGUACAGUGUGGGAGGAGAUAGUUAUUUAUUGCCCCAAGGAGCUUCAACUAAUAUGUCUGUCAGCAACAGUAAAGAAUCCAAAUGAACUGGCUGGCUGGAUUAAUGAGGUUCAUGGUAAAACUGAAUUGGUGACAUCAUCAAAGCGUCCAGUUCCAUUGACUUGGCACUUCUCCACAAAGACUGCUUUGUAUCCUCUUCUUGAUGAGAAAAGAAAGAACAUGAAUAGGAAGCUGUCACUUAAUUAUUUACAACUUUCUGCUUCAGGAGUUAAAUCUUUCAAGGAUGAUGGGCCCAGAAGGAGAAAUUCAAGAAAACAUGGGAAUGACAGAGAAAUGAAUAAUAUUGGUAAUAUGUCUGGAGAACCUCUCUCAAAGAACAACAUAGGAAGAAUCCGCCGUUCUCUGGUGCCUCUAGUAAUUGAUACAUUAACACAGCUUAAGGUAAAGGAUAUGCUGCCAGCAAUUUGGUUUAUUUUUAAUAGGAGAGGAUGUGAUGCAGCUGUGCAGUACCUUGAAGGUUGCAAACUCUUAGAUGAGUGUGAGACGAGUGAGGUUGAACUGGCUUUGAAGAGGUUCAGCAUUCAGAAUCCUGAUGCUGUCAGGGAGACUUCUGUCAAAGGACUUUUGAAUGGGGUUGCUGCACAUCAUGCUGGCUGCCUUCCUGUAUGGAAAUCAUUUACUGAGGAACUGUUUCAAAGAGGACUCAUUAAAGUUGUGUUUGCCACAGAAACGCUAGCUGCUGGGAUCAACAUGCCUGCUAGAACAGCUGUUAUAUCAUCUCUCAGCAAGAGAAGUGGUAGUGGACGAAUCCAGUUAAGCCCCAAUGAACUGCUUCAAAUGGCUGGGCGAGCUGGACGUAGAGGUAUCGAUAAAAGGGGCCAUGUUGUACUGGUUCAGACUCCUAAUGAUGGUGCUGAAGAGUGCUGCAAACUUCUGUUUGCCGGACUAGAACCUCUUGU